Molecule: long non-coding RNA, 184 nt
Organism: Zingiber officinale
Lineage: Eukaryota; Viridiplantae; Streptophyta; Magnoliopsida; Zingiberales; Zingiberaceae
Exons: 3
Source: RefSeq, a predicted model, not a curated record
AAAAAUUAGAGCAAAUAUAAGCUGAGUCAAGCAUCAAGAAAUCAACUAGUUUUGGUGUCACAUAAUGUUGGUUAUCAUUGGAUUCUCACAGUCAUUGAUCCAUAUAAGGAGACAGUUUAUUUGUUGGAUUCGCGACCUCCUCCCUCGCCACCGGCCGCAACCCUCGGUCUAUCUCUUUCCCCUA